RNAcentral lists this ribosomal RNA (460 nucleotides) under uncultured bacterium. RNAcentral's name for it is "partial 16S ribosomal RNA". It matches the Rfam family "Bacterial small subunit ribosomal RNA", at positions 338 to 795 of the family's 1533-position model. The record is from RNAcentral.
CCUACGGGAGGCAGCAGUGAGGAAUAUUGGUCAAUGGCCGUAAGCCUGAUGCAGCCAAGCCGCGUGAGUGAAGACUGCCCUCUGGGUUGUAAGCCUCUUUUGUGGGGGGAUAAAGGUGUCCACGUGUGGAUGUUUGCAGGUACCGCAUCCAUAAGGCACGGCUAAUUCCGUGCCGGCAGCAGCGGUAAUACGGAAGGUCCGGGCGUUAUCCGGAUUUAUUGGGUUUAACGGGAGCGUAGGCCGGUCUUUAAGCGUGCCGUGAAAUUUUGUGGCUCAACCAGGAGAGUGCGGCGCGAACUGGAGAGCUUGAGUGCGCGGGAGGCAGGCGGAAUUCGUGGUGUAGCGGUGAAAUGCUUAGAUAUCACGAAGAACACCGAUGGCGAAGGCAGCCUGCCGCAGCGUUACUGACGCUGAAGCUCGAAAGCGCGGGUAGCGAACAGGAUUAGAUACCCGUGUAGUC